AGGACGAACGCUGGCGGCGUGCUUAACACAUGCAAGUCGAACGGUGACGGAGGAGCUUGCUCCUCCUGAUCAGUGGCGAACGGGUGAGUAACACGUGAGUAACCUGCCCCAGACUCUGGAAUAACCCCGGGAAACCGGAGCUAAUACCGGAUACGAGACGGAGUCGCAUGGCUACCGUCUGGAAAGUUUUUCGGUCUGGGAUGGACUCGCGGCCUAUCAGCUUGUUGGUGAGGUAACAGCUCACCAAGGCGACGACGGGUAGCCGGCCUGAGAGGGCGAUCGGCCACACUGGGACUGAGACACGGCCCAGACUCCUACGGGAGGCAGCAGUGGGGAAUAUUGCACAAUGGGCGAAAGCCUGAUGCAGCGACGCCGCGUGAGGGAUGGAACGCCUUCGGGUUGUAAACCUCUUUCAGCAGGGAAGAAGCGAAAGUGACGGUACCUGCAGAAGAAGCACCGGCUAACUACGCGCCAGCAGCCGCGGU
Molecule: ribosomal RNA, 485 nt
Filed under: uncultured bacterium
Lineage: Bacteria
Description: SSU rRNA
Rfam family: Bacterial small subunit ribosomal RNA
Source: RNAcentral